UGAUACACACUCCUACUACCAGGAUCAUGUUGAGUUAAAGCCUGUAAAACCUGUCGAAAUAAGUAAUGACAUUGACUCGGAAAUGCGGCUGCUGAACUUGACCUAGGGAGUGAAGCAUCAUUGACAGCCCCUCGGUGGAUCCAACGUGACUCACAUUCCUUCCAGAGGUUGGACUGUGCCUCCCCGCUUUCCCACGAAUCACGGAGUUCUUCGAUCACAACCUAUGUGUUAUUAGCAUUGUUUGCUAGAUGAGUUCUAGGUGCUUGGGUGGGUAAUUUUUUUAGUAAUUUUCUUCUUAUAUGAACACUUGUAAAUUGUAAAAAAAAAUGGUUUUUAAUUUUUUUAACAACAUUUAAUGUGAGGCAUGCAAAAUGAAGAAAAAGAAUCUGUGAAAACUUCCUACAGUCAAUUCUAAGAGAAAUAUCAUUGUGUAUUUUUGAGAUGUUAAGUCAGUACUGCUGACUGCUGAAGCUAUCCUAGGCUUGAUGAAUUUGCAUUAGCAGACAUUACCUGUGGUUAUCAGACAGACACAAAGGUAGACCCUGUGACAGCUGAUAAAAGGGUAUAAAUAAUGAAUCCAGUCUUCUGACUGAAUAUGGGUCAUUUUUUUCAAAACCAUAAAACAAAACGUGGAGUC
Long non-coding RNA from Carlito syrichta (Philippine tarsier), 637 nucleotides. RefSeq lists it as uncharacterized. NCBI's taxonomy places the organism in Eukaryota, Metazoa, Chordata, Mammalia, Primates, Tarsiidae. The transcript is spliced from 2 exons. The record is from RefSeq and is a predicted model, not a curated record.